Long non-coding RNA from Dermacentor andersoni, 357 nucleotides. RefSeq lists it as uncharacterized. Lineage: Eukaryota; Metazoa; Arthropoda; Arachnida; Ixodida; Ixodidae. The record is from RefSeq and is a predicted model, not a curated record.
UUUUCCAGGAUGGGCACGACCGUCACAGCUCCCCCUCCCCAUCACAGUUUACACAGUGGAGAGUGUUCUCGCAAGAUUCAGAGAUCAUAUUGACCCAAAACUCUUGUCUCACGCCACAAGCAACAAAUAUUGCGGCAUUCAAAGAAAGUGGUGAUCUCCAAGUCUCUGUGGCUGGCAUUAGGGAGACUACAGCUGGAUUAAUGAGAUGGGACUUAAGAUGGCCAUCAUCUGUGUUGCUACCACGAGAGAGCAAUGGGAGGCACUGCAGUCCAGCUCAGCCCUCGACGACCAGCUCAAGCAGAUACAGAAAGCUGAGAAGAUGGCAAGAGCCAGCGGAGCCCUGGACUAGGGGCCCCG